RNAcentral lists this long non-coding RNA (5001 nucleotides) under Homo sapiens (human). RNAcentral describes it as "non-protein coding lnc-NPBWR1-12:7". Lineage: Eukaryota; Metazoa; Chordata; Mammalia; Primates; Hominidae. The record is from RNAcentral.
CUCGCACCGGCGCUGGGGUGCAGGCUUUCAGUGGUCUCAGGGCUACGGCUUGUCGGUGCCUCGCCGCACAGUCCCCUUUGCAUUGAAGGACACGGUCUUACGGUGUAGGAGCAUUUUUGAGGUGCAUUCCUGGAUUUGGAGGCGAACCCCCAAUGGUUACCUCCACAGAGGCUUUGCGAAGGGCGCUCACUGACUUAGGUGAAGAGCGAAGGCUCAAGACUGUGCCGCUUUAUAGUGGCCCCUUGACGUCCAGAAGUUCCCCCCAGCGCCGGUCAUAAGCACUCCCGCCGCCUGGGCCCCGCCCUGCCUGCCAGGCGCCCUCCAGCCUCAGCUCCCGGACGCCCGGCGUGGCCGCUUUCUCGCGUCUUGCUGACCCGGGCCGGGGGCGUGUGCUCCUCCUGCAGCGGACGGAAGAUGCUGGGCCACGCAAGUUUCCCUGGGCUUGGUUAACCACCCCAAAGCCCAUUUCCAGAAGGAAAGGGUGUUGAGGAGGAGGGAUAGAAAGUCGAGAAGAGGGCCGGCUCUAAACUCCCAUGGUGCUGGAGCAGCCAGAGAAGAAGUGUUACUAGACCUGCCACUGCUACCUACAGUGAGCCCCAUUCUGCACACAGAGGCUGCGGACUCCUUUUUCCCAAUCAUAGACCAGAAUGCUUGUGAAAGAAGAUGUGGCUGUUCUGCAGGUUGGAGCUCUAGGAUCGGAAGAACUCAUCUGUAUCACAUAUGAUCCAGCUGAAAGUCCCUACAAACUGGGCCCUCUGUGUCUUUAGAAGCAGCUUCCAAGGGCAGGAAGACUUCCAGAGUGCAGGACUGAGCGUGCUGCUAAUCUUGUUCUGGUCGAGAGACUGAUGAGAGAGACAAGAAUUAUGGCGCGAGAAAAGCAGCAGCAGCAGCAGCAAGUCUGCAGAGGGGAAUGCCAAACUCGCUACUGGGUGUUUUUUUUUGUUUUGUUUUGUUUUGUUUUGUUUUGUUUUGUUUUGUUUGAUACAGAGUUUCACUCUGUCACCCAGGCUGGAGUAGAGUGGUGCCAUCUCAGCUCAUUGCAACCUCUGCCCCCUGGGUUCAAGCAAUUCUCCUGCCUCAGCCUUCCGAGUAGCUGGGAUUAUAGGCAUGUGCCACCAUGCCUGGCUAAUUUUUGUAUUUUUAGUAGAGACAGGGUUUUGCCAUGUUGGCCAGGCUGGUCUCAAACUACUGACCUCAAGUGAUCCGCCCGCCUGGCCCCCCAAAGUACUGGGAUUACAGGUGUGAGCCACCAUGCCUGGCCUGCUGUGAUUUUUCAUUGAACCUAAUUAACUCAUUUUUAGCCCCUAUUUUUGGUACAAUAAUAGAACUUAGGUUGUAAUCAACUGGUGGGUUCUUUCCGCACACUGCACAGAUAAGAUCAGUCCACAGAGACCACAGCGUUGCAGUAAAGAAAGAGUUUGAUGUGAGGCCAGCCACGUGGGAAAACUGGAGUUAUCACUCAAAUCAGUCUCCCCAAAGGCUUGGAGGUCAGGAUUUUUGUGGACAAUUUGGUGGGCAGGGAGCUAGGGAAUGGGUGUUGCUGAUGGGUAGGGGGUGAAAUCAUAGGGGUGUGGAAAACAGUCCUGAUGUGCUGAGUUUUCCUCUGGGUGGGGCCACAGGACCAGCUGAAUCAUGAAUCCAGGUGGGGCCAGUGUGAAGAACGUAUCAAAAAAUCAAUCUUAGGUUCUACAAUAGUGAUGUUAUCUAUAGGAGCAAUUGGAGAAGUCACAAAGCUUGUGACCCCUGGCCACAUGACUCCUGGGCAGUAAGAGAUUACUAUGUCUACAUUUUAGCAGAGUUCAUGCCUUUCCCACAACUCUAAUCUUGUAGCCCUUCAUUAAUCUUACAAAGGCGGUUUUCAGUCCCUGAGCAAGGAGGGGUUUAUUUUUGGGAGGGACUAUUAUCAUCCUUUAUUUCAGGUUAAACUAUAAACUAGAUUCCUGCCAAAGUUGGCUUGGUCUACGUCCAGGAAUGACAAGGACAGCUGGGAGGGCAGAAGCAAGAUGGAGUCAAUUAUGUCCAAUUUAUCUUACUGUCAUAAUUUUUCAAAGGCAGUUUCAAGGUUACUAUUCUCAUGAUUCAACACAUCCUCAAGGAGUGAGAUUCAGUCUGUGUAAGUGUAUCAUGACUUUCUAUAACACGCCUUGUCAUGCACUCUUCUACCCUGCUAGAAUUGGAGUCUGGCCUCAGCUGGUUCCUACCAGCAGUACUGCCAUCACCUCAUCCUCAUCUGCCCCAUCUGUUGUUUUGGAACCACUUGUGUCCUCUGAAAUGCAUAUGUUGAAGUCCUAACCACCUGUGCCUCAGAAUGGGACUAUGUUUGGAGAAAGGGUUUUAAAGAGGUACUUAAAGUUAAAUGAGAUCAUUACUGUGAACCCUGAUCCAAAUUGACUUAUGCCCUUAUAAGAAAAGGAAAUUUGGCCACUUACACUCACAGAGGAAGAAAUCAUUUGAAGACACAGAGAGAAGAGGGCCGAGGAGAGAGGUCUCAGAGAAACCAACCCAAUGACAUUUCGUCUUGGAUUUCCAGCCCCCAGAAUUACUGGAAAAUACAUUUUUCUUGUUUAGGCCACCCAAUCUGUACUACUUUGUUAUGGCAACCCUAGCAAACUAAUGCAGUCACCAACCCAGGGUGAAAAUGGGACAUUCCCAACUCUAGCUCUUAGGCCAAGCUUAUUUGUAAUAGAUUCUUGUUUUCAAAGGAUAUAGAUAUUGAGAUUCUCAAUGUAUUUGUUAAAAUACAUUGUUUCUUGUUAAAAGCAUAAGACUUUGAAAUGUCUCUGUGUUGCAGAUAUGUAGAUGUUCUGAGCCAUAAUUUUUGGAAAAUUCUUUCAAAGAAAAGGAAAUCUACUGGACAAAUAGCAUGAUUAAUGGGGAUCUAGUGACAAAAUAAUCUGCCCUAAUUGGAUUUGUGAUGUUUUUGCAACUUGAAAUUAGCUUCAAAAUCCAACAAUAAUACGAAAGAAUGUUCAGUAUCACGAAUCAAAUUAAAACCAUAAUUAAAUCACCUCCUUUCAUUAGGGUAGCUACUAUAAAAAAAAAGUAAAACAAAACAGAAAAUAGCAACUGUCGGCAAAGAUGUGGAGAAAUUGGAACCCUUGUGAAACCAUCCCACAGUGUUGACAAGAAUUGCAUGCUGGGUUCUGGACAGAAAUAGUUCCAAUUAAGUACUAAUCAGUCUGCACUUGGGCCCACUUACUCGUUGUUAAAAGUCAUGUAGCCCUGGAUGCUGACCAUGUACAUCUGCAUUGUUCCUAUAGAUAAGAUCUCUGACAUUAGAAUCAUAAGGCUUUUGUUUAAGGAUCACUUAUGAUGUUUUUCACACCCCAAAUUCCAGCAGCCAGUUUGAAGACUCCCACAGAGUAAUGGGAUCAAUAUGAGAAUACAGCUUCUUCAUCUCCCUAUCUCAUGACUUCACCCUCUACUCUUCCAACCAAUCAGUGAUCUCCACAUUGCAGCCCAUUCCAACACUCUUAAAAACCCCUACCCCCAAAUGCCUCAGGGAGACAGAUUUGAGGUUUCUUCUCAUCUCAUUUAGUGACCCUAUGAUUAAACCCCUUUCCUUGCUACAACCUGGUGUCUCAGCUUAUUAUUUGCUGUGUGCAUGGGGCAAUGAACCUAUUUCAGUUACACUUGUGCACUGUUGGCAAGAAGGUAAAAUGGUACAGCCACUAUGGAAAAUGGUAUGAAAGUUUCUCCAAAAAUUAAAAAUAGAAUUCUCAUGUAACCCAGCAGUCCCACUUCUGGGCAUAUAUAUCCAAAGGAAGUCAAAUUAGUAUCUCAAAGAGACCUUUGUACACCCGUGUUCAUAAUAGCAUUAUUCACAGUAGCCAGAAGUUGGGAACAAUCCAAUGUCCAUUGACAGAUGCACAGAUAAACAAAAUACGGUAUAUACAUAACAAUGGAAAAUUAUUCAGCCUUGAAAAAAACUGAAAGUCUGACAUGUACUAUAACAUGAGUGAACCUUGAGGACAGUAUGAUAAGUGAAAUGAGUCAGAAGCAAAAAGACAAAUAUUGUAUGAUUCCAUUUACAUAAGGUACCCAGAGUAGUCAAAUUCAUAGAGAUACAAGGUGUCUGCUGGAAUGGCGGUUGCCAGGGGAUGGGGGAAGGGAAAAUGGGAAGCUGUUGAAAUGAGUCCAGAGUUUCAGUUUGGAAAUGAUGACAGAGCUCUGGAGAUUGGUUGCACCACAAUAUGAACAUAGUUAACACUAUGGCAUUGUACAUUUAGAAAUGAUUAAGAUGGAAAAUUUUACGUUAGAUGUAUUUUACCACAACUAAAAAUUUAAAAGAAAGAAAAAAACAGCUAUGAAGAUUUCUAAGUCUUGGGCCUUAUUUUGCCAUGAGGAAAAAUAAAUACAUCCCAUAAAAAAAAUCCUAAAUGGAUCUGGUAAUGUUAUUCUGUAUGUAAAGUCAUUUUCUUGAGCAACAUAGGAAAUAGUCUUUAAUCUUUUGGAAUAUCAUAGGAAAAAAAGCGGCUAAAAGUCACAUUGUUCUGCCUCAAUUCACCAGAGUUUUUAUGGAACUCAAUUAUUGGUUAACAGUGGAAGUUCUUGCUGGAUAAUUUUUCACUUUUCUGAUCAUCUGGGAUAGAGUUUUAAGACUUUCCUAGUUCCUCCAGGUACAGAGCUAUAGGAUUCACUUGGCUAUGUUGCUCUCCCAUUUCUACAUAGUUUUAAAAAUUAUGGAAUCUUUCUUUUCAUGGUGUUUGGUUCUAUAAUAAUCAGCGGCUGAUAAAAAAAAUCAGUGUUCUACCUCUUGAUUCUGAUGGCCGUUUUCAUACUCCUUGUAGGAACUACAAUACUGGUUUCUGUCUGAACUUGCAGCCGCAGAGCAUGAGAGAAAUAACCAUUGAACUCUAAAUAACUGCUUUCCAAAUUUUGUGCUGGCUGUCUAAUUCAAACUAUUAUCUAUCUAUCUAUCAUCUAUCAUCUAUCUAUCUAUCUAUCUAUCUAUCUAUCUAUCUUUUAUCUCAUAGCACUGUGGAAUUUAAUUUAAUUAAU